CACACUGCCGAGAAAAGCCUCUAGAUAGAAAAUAGGUGCCCGUACCGCAAACCGACACAGGUAGUCAAGAUGAGAAUUCUAAGGUGAGCGAGCGAACUCUCGUUAAGGAACUCGGCAAAAUGACCCCGUAACUUCGGGAGAAGGGGUGCUCUUUAGGGUUAACGCCCAGAAGAGCCGCAGUGAAUAGGCCCAAGCGACUGUUUAUCAAAAACACAGGUCUCUGCUAAACCGUAAGGUGAUGUAUAGGGGCUGACGCCUGCCCGGUGCUGGAAGGUUAAGAGGAGUGGUUAGCUUCUGCGAAGCUACGAAUCGAAGCCCCAGUAAACGGCGGCCGUAACUAUAACGGUCCUAAGGUAGCGAAAUUCCUUGUCGGGUAAGUUCCGACCCGCACGAAAGGCGUAACGAUUUGGGCACUGUCUCAACGAGAGACUCGGUGAAAUCAUAGUACCUGUGAAGAUGCAGGUUACCCGCGACAGGACGGAAAGACCCCGUGGAGCUUUACUGUAGCCUGAUAUUGAAAUUCGGCACAGCUUGUACAGGAUAGGUAGGAGCCUUUGAAACGUGAGCGCUAGCUUACGUGGAGGCGCUGGUGGGAUACUACCCUAGCUGUGUUGGCUUUCUAACCCGCACCACUUAUCGUGGUGGGAGACAGUGUCAGGCGGGCAGUUUGACUGGGGCGGUCGCCUCCUAAAAGGUAACGGAGGCGCUCAAAGGUUCCCUCAGAAUGGUUGGAAAUCAUUCAUAGAGUGUAAAGGCAUAAGGGAGCUUGACUGCGAGACCUACAAGUCGAGCAGGGUCGAAAGACGGACUUAGUGAUCCGGUGGUUCCGCAUGGAAGGGCCAUCGCUCAACGGAUAAAAGCUACCCCGGGGAUAACAGGCUUAUCUCCCCCAAGAGUUCACAUCGACGGGGAGGUUUGGCACCUCGAUGUCGGCUCAUCGCAUCCUGGGGCUGUAGU
This 957-nucleotide ribosomal RNA is filed under the name Staphylococcus aureus. Its description in RNAcentral is "partial 23S ribosomal RNA". It matches the Rfam family "Bacterial large subunit ribosomal RNA", at positions 1601 to 2559 of the family's 2925-position model. Lineage: Bacteria; Bacillati; Bacillota; Bacilli; Caryophanales; Staphylococcaceae. The record is from RNAcentral.